UCGUUACCGGCUGUCCAGCAAGUUGCAGUUGGUGGAAGUAAUUUCGGUCGGACGUCAUCAUUGUGUGUAUUUUAUCUCAAUAACUUGCAAGAUGUUAACGGAAAGAGAACUUACUGCCCAAAAAUUUGAUACGUAAAUACAUUUUUUCCAAAAAAAAAAAACGUUUGCGGAUGCCAGACAUGACAAUUUAUUGGCUGGAGACUGUUUAAACACUUUUACAAGUACCAUCUGGUCAUGAAGUGGUGAAGUAACUCUGCUCUAUCGCAGUAAAAUGCUUGCACAAAUGCCUGAUUUGAUGCGUUGGUGCAAACUCCACCACGAAAUUAUACUGGAUUGUGGUUGAUCACUCAUGGAACUUGAGUGAUGGGAGCUUAUCUGACACUGAAGCUGAGGACCGUGAUGUUGAAACUUCAUGAUGCAUGUGAAACUCAAGUCCCUGGGAUGCUCCUGUUGACUUCCUGACAGCCUGACAUCUCUGCUGGGAUGUGCCUACCUCUUUUACUGUGAGUAAGGGAGGGUCAAUCAGCUUGUGGUAAGUAACUGAGUAUUUUACUGUCAUUUGGUGUUCCAGGAUGUUGGACAGUGCUAACUGAGGUAGACAUCCUGCAAAGCAGCUGAUGUUGCACUACGAGCUGCUGAGGGGAGCCGGGACGAGACUGUUCGUUAAUUGUGGGGGAACUGAAUGGACUUUCUGUAGCUUGCACAACGCAGGAGUUUACUAAAGUGGAUUGCACAGGGAAUGGAGAUGCUAGGAAAUUCUACUACAGGGUGGUCCAUAGCUGUGGUGCCAAACUUUUAAAACAAAAAGCAGAUGGAUGUACAAAUGUUUAAGUCAAGUACCAGAUUGUUAUAAUUAAUAUGCAGCUACACACGAAGGUCCAGUGUCAACUGUAAUUAUCAUAUGGCAACGAAACUUGGUAGAUAUGUUAACGUGUUAAUGCAGACGUGAUUUACACUGGAAAAAAAAAAUUGGUUCCCGUUUUGGCAACCAAGUGCAAAUUUGGCAGUGUACACUGUUAGUAUGAUGGUUCGACAUCCACGUUGUCAUUUGACAAGCCAUAAUGUGAGUGAACCGUAUGGCUAUGGUGAAGAGGGACCGUGCUAUCUUGGUGAAAUUGUUUUAUGUAAAUGGUAGCAAUUACAGUGCUGCAGUGAUACAGUGUCGCUGACAGAAAAGUCUAUUGAGAGAAUUGAUGGCAUUUAAUGGUUUAAUAAGGAUGAUAAUGAAAUUCAAAAACAGCGGAGCUUGGUGUGUUGUGUGGAAAAGGAAAGCAUCCUUUCAUGGUGGAAGUUAUUGACAUGGUUGCUGUUGCUGCAACUGACCGUGCAGCAUGUACCCCGUGUACUGUUAGUGCUCCUGCAAUGUUACGAGAAUUGUCCAUCCCGUGGUCAACAAUACAGAAACUUUUGUGGGCCAUGUUACACUGGUACCUGUAAAAGAUCCAGACAGUGCAAUGACUGAAACAUCAUGAUGUGCAGCAAUGUUCUGAAUUUGCUCUUAGAUCUCUUGACCGGAUCGAAGUUGACAAUGUGAGGCUGGGCAAUGUUUUAUGGAGUCACAAGGCACAUUUUGCACGACAGGUUGCAGUGAAUACACAGAAUUGCUUAAUUUGGGGUGCAGUUAAGUUGCCUGUAGUGCAUGAAGGGUCAUUGCAAGUGCCCUAUGGACUGUGUUGUGUGGACUCGCACACCUUUGUUCUGUGUUUUUCUUAAAGGAAAAUACAUCCAAAGGGCCUUCCAGGUGUACAGUGAUGCCUGAACGUUACUGAGACCUAGUACAACUUGCAAUUCCCACUUUGGAAGAGCAAAAAUAUGCAGAAACCGUUGUUUUUGUGCAAGGUGUCACAAAACCUUAUGUUGCUUGCUCAGUGAAAAUAUUGGUUAAUGCAGCAUUUCAAGAGUGUGUUACCCCCAGAGGUUUCCCAGUUGCGUGGCCUGCAAGAUCGCCUUUCCUGAAUUUGUGUGACUUUUGGCUCUGGAGGUAUCUAUAAGAAACAUUGACUGGGAACAUGUUCAGUCUCUGCCUAAUUCAAAGGUCAGUGUACAGGAUGUGUUGCUCAUAUUCCAUCAGAACUGCUGCAAGGAACUGCUGACCAUCUCAUUUUAGAGAUUCAGCAACUUGUUAACAUCUCUAGUGCUCAUAUUGAACAAAUUUUGUAAUAAUAAAAUAGUAAAGCCAACAUUACGUCUUUCUAGCGUGUGUGACCUUUUGUCCCAUUCCAGAUCAAUUACAUAUGGAAACAUUUCGGUAUGUCUAUCUUACACUCAUGAUGCAAGAGUUGCAAAAAUUGGAAAUAAUGUGGAACCAAUUUACCCUGGAAAAAAUUAAUGCAUAAGCAUAUGUACGAAGUUUUGCUGCUAUAUGUAAUUACAGCCUGGACUGGAUCUCUGUGAGUAGCAUCACUUUAAUUAUAACUACCCCCAGUAAGAGUUAGGAUAGGGGAAAACCUGUGAGGCUGUGUUGUCAAAUGGAUUGCCAUUUUGAAUGCUGCCAUGUUGGAUGCAUCUGGUAAUUUUCAAAUGGAAAACAGAUCAUAUGGCAUAUCAGACUUUCAAGAGUACAUUAAUGGUGUCUUUUAUUUGGUUAUUUUGAAUGCUGCCAUAUUAGAUGCAUUCAUUCUUUUGUGAAGUCGUGUUAUGUGCAGAACAAGGCAAAUGCUGAUGGUAACAGUUGGUGAAAGCUUCAGAAUAUGCUCUUUGUGUUGUCCAGCACGCUUAAAGAUUGUUGGUGCCCCCAUUAUCCAGUGUCAUGGAACUUAACUACACAUGUACUGGAGUGUGAGCACAGGCCUCAACAAUCUGCUCCCUGAGAUGUGCAUUGUUUCUGAGCUUCACUGCAUAUACAGUUGCAUGCACAUACCACCACAGAUGGAAAUCUCACCAGACUUAAAUCUGGGGAAUGUUGUAGCUACUCCACUGGACCUCUCCAAUCUAUCCAUCUUCAGGGAAACUGGAUAUCAAAGUACGAAUGGAAAACCAGCCCAUAAAGAGGUAGGGCACAAUCGUGCAGAAAAAAGGUAGAAGCGCCUCUUCUUCAGAUGACACCACAUGCUUGUUUAACAACUUCAGACAAAGGGCUGCUGUUAGUGUAUCAUGCAUGAAGAAAAGUCCGACUAUACAUGAAUGAUACUUUAGUGAGGCGACUCGCUACAACUAUCAGACAGUAGAAAAAUUAAUUUCAGCCAUCAGCUGAACUAAUUAUUCAUUUUUCUCUACUGGUUUUGGUCACAACAGCCAUUAUCAUAGAAAGAAAAAGCAAAAGCGGAUACUGCUGUUCUGAGAGGGCGUGUCUUCAGCCUCUCCCAUUUGUCGUCACAGAUUGCAGCGACACAUCACUAAAGUGUAUGGUAUCAAUGUGCAUUGCUGUCUGUGAUGUGGUACCACAAUCUUUGGAUGAUAUCACACUUUCGAUGUACAAACUAUCUUUGAUGGUCUGUCCAGUGAAGGCUGACGUCUGAGCAAUAUCUUUGAUUCUGUUCAUUUACACACAUAAUGUGUCACCCAUUCUACAAACUGAACUCAGUAGCCUUGCUAAGGCAUUACCACAAAUGCGUUUUGUAAGAGUCAAAAUUAUCAUUAUUGAUAAACAACUGGCUCCAAUUUCAUAAAAGAUGCAGCAGAUACCCUGAUAUGAAUACUUAAUGAACAAUGCCAAAAGUCUCACAAUUAAUACAGGGUGUACAUAAAGUCUGGGAACACUCUCAAUUAUUUAUUGCACAAGAACUAAACAUUGUACAGAUGUCAUACAUAUUGCAUUUUGGAGAGAAACUCUGGAAGUCUUUUUUUACAAACAUUCAAUAUGUGAACCAUGAGUGACCUGGCAGAUGUCAGUAUGGUAAUCAAAUUCUUUCCAUACCCAUCCCAGCAUGGCAUCGUCAACUGUGGCAGUCACUUCCCAUACUCUCUCCCAGAGCUCUGUUACAUCACGUGGUAGAGGUGGUACAUACACCAGAUCUUUAAUGUGUCAUCCUGACAACACGAUGACACCUUCAAACACACCACACUCGCAAACCAAACUUCGUACUGUCAUGACGUUGCACACAACAGCCUUAUGUCAUGGGCCAAACCUGACACGUGGGAUCGGCUGCUUCGGUCAACCCGUGUCUAUUUUAUCUGUUAAAAUAUUGUGUGAACAGUUUGAACAGAUCAACUAGGAGCUUUUACUGAAUCUACAGAUACCAUAUCCCUAGUGUUAUACCACCACCCUUGUAAAUGUCAUUAGUCAUCAGACAAAGAAAUUCUGUGUCAGUGGGAAAGUUGUAACACAGUACAAAUCUCAUAUUUCUUUUUAAAUGUAAAUGUUUGGUUAUCAUUAUAGUGCUCAGUGUGUUUCUUACUUUGGUUUUCAUUCUGUUUGUAGCUGAAAACACACUUUUGUCACUAGUGGAAGCGUGGGAUAAGCACAACAGUGCAUCAUCGUGGCCAGUAACUUGCAGAACAUAGGUGUUCCAUCUCCCUAUUUCAGCUUACGGACAGCUUUCCAGAAUGCAGCCUGAUCUGUAACCAUUGUUCCUACCUCUGCAUUUCUCAGUAGCCUCCAUGCAGUGUCAAUUGUUUGGAUGUCAUUUUUAAUUAAAAUUGGAAACUUUGAUGCAAGGCUGCCAAUAGAUGUAAUCCAAAUUAGGUUCAGUGCCUCCAAAUAUUUUAUAACAUAGUCAAAUGUUUUCCUUUCAGUGACAAUCUGUUGAGCACUCUCAAUAGAAGUUUUAAGCGCGAAAGUUUAAAGUUCUCCAGUUGACCACAAGACAGAUCUGUAUUUUUAUCAAUGUCCAACAAAACCUUUGCUCCUAAAUCAAGCGAUUUAAGAUAAAUUGCCUGUGAACAUAUGAACGAAAUACUAAUAAUUUUCAUAAAGUGUACAUGGCUCUAAGUAAAAAAUGUGAACUCCUAGUAUGAUGAAAAUAAGACAAUACGAAUGUUUAAUUGUAUAUCUAUCUUUUCAGCAAUAAUCACAUUGGUUGUCAUAUUGACUGUAUGAAUCUUUGCAGAACAAACCGUAAUAUUUAUUUCUUUAUUUACUCAUCCUAGGAACAAUAUAUAUUGUAUGGAUGUCGUCAGUUUGAUACAUGAGCACACGUUUACAUUUACAAUGAAACAGAUUUCUAAUAUUUUGUAUAGUUUUUAUAACUAGUCAUACACACAUUUAUAUCAUCAUAUUUGGGCGAUAAUGUCAUAUGCUGCUAAUAAUCUACAUCUAUGUUAAAUAUUCUUUUACAGUAUAACAACUUUUACUUACUAAGAAGGUUUUAAGUUUUUGUAUGAAAGUGAGGGGCUAAUUUAUUUCUUUAAUUUCCUGUGGUAAUUUGUUAUACAGUUUUAUCCCAUUAUAAAAUAUACUUUUUUACGUCUUUGCCUUGUUCUUUCUAUCUAGAGUGAGGUGGUGACAAGAUCUUGUUUCAUAGUCAUGUAUUAGGCUGUUUGUGUUAUACAUGUUGAGAUUUUUCUUAAUGAACCUUAUGAUCUGAAAGAUAUACUCACAAGAAAUAGAAUGCCUAGCUUCCUACAUAAUUCUCUCUAAUGCUCUGUUUGCCAGUCAAUAUUUGGAAUCUAUGCACUGACUGACUACCGUACUUCAAUACUUGAAAUCUUAUGUACACAUUAACAACACCUGUCUAAAAAAAGUGGGCUAUAAUUGUAUCAUUUCAGUCACAAGUUUUUAUUCUAGAAAUAUUUAAAUCUGAUAAUCUUAAUUAAGGUUACUUUGCUAUGGCUAAUCAGAAUGUAUUUUUCUUCCUGUUGGUAGUAAGUUAGUGUCUGUAGUCUGUUUUAUGUCAAAUAAUAUCCUGAAACAUCCCAAAAAAUUUCAGACUUCUAGUUGAAAUAGAUUUUUUGCACAAAAUAAGACAGAAAAUUUAAUUCUCAAGGAAAUCAGCUCAGAGCUACAUUUGACUUAUGGCUCACCUAAAUACAUCCAGCUGCUAAUCUUUUUGGUGUACGUAUUCUUUAUCUUCUGUCUUCCUUGUCUAUACUGGCCUCUUUAGUUGCCCAAGGACCCACUUUUUAGCUUCGGCCACUCCUAUGGAAGCAAUUGACACCAGUGAGUGCCUCAUACUGAACUCGGAAUAUAUUCCUAGCAACAUCACAAAAUAUCUUCUUACAGGGCUACCAACUUGAGAAACUGUUGUAUAGUGCAUCUUCCUGGAAUUUUUAUUUUAUUUGGCAUAUGGCAUUUAAGUACACUUCAGUAUUGGAUCACGUUAU
This is a long non-coding RNA of Schistocerca gregaria, 6201 nucleotides long. RefSeq lists it as uncharacterized. The transcript has 3 exons. The record is from RefSeq and is a predicted model, not a curated record. Lineage: Eukaryota; Metazoa; Arthropoda; Insecta; Orthoptera; Acrididae.